RNAcentral lists this ribosomal RNA (776 nucleotides) under Gammarus balcanicus. Its description in RNAcentral is "eukaryotic LSU rRNA". It matches the Rfam family "Eukaryotic large subunit ribosomal RNA", at positions 157 to 623 of the family's 3401-position model. Lineage: Eukaryota; Metazoa; Arthropoda; Malacostraca; Amphipoda; Gammaridae. The record is from RNAcentral. RNAcentral also lists the same sequence under 3 other names.
UAAGUCAGCCACGAAUAGGCUAUCCCAACUAACGGCGGGAAAGACUCCACGGAGGGUGUAAGACCCGUGUGGGCGCGUGUCAAAGCUGUGCGGGCUCGGCCUCUAUUCCCUGAGAGUCGCGUUGCUUGAGCAUGCAGCGCUAAGCAGGUCGUAAACUCGAUCUAAGGCUAAAUAUCUCCACAGAACCGAUAGCGAACAAGUACCGUGAGGGAAAGUUGAAAAGCACUCUGGAGAGAGAGUCAAAAGACCGUGAAACCGCUCAGAGUAUAAGCCCAUGGCAGCUUGGAAGGCAUAUCGAAAGCGGGGCAUCGUUCUGCCUUCGCGGGCAGGCGGUGUUACCUUGCUUCUGUUGUGGCUCGUUAUGGUAGGGGGGUCAGGUCCACAUCCCGCCGUCGUGUGGGGGGUUCUUGGGUGUGUUGUGGUUUCUCGGUUGGCUUCGGCUGGCCGGGGGGCCCUUCGUGCUCGGUUCCUCUUUAGACACGGACGUUCAGACUCAGAGGCAAGACGCGAUAAACAGCCCACCACGGCACGUUGUGAGGUCACCCACAGGCUCGACUUUCGAUCGUGAACCUUGACGCCGAGCAAGCACAAUGCGUGUCGCUUAUGUUCCUAACCAGGCAACGCUGCCAGGACCGUGGAACGACACGCGCUCAACAGUCAGGUUCGGGCGGAGACAGAGUUCUGGUAUGAUCCUCUUGCGACGAGCCGGCUUCUGGCCAACAUCCGAUGCUCAGGUCUCCCGCAUGUGCCGCGGGAGAUCGCUUUGACGGUCUGGA